Temnothorax curvispinosus is the source of this 768-nucleotide long non-coding RNA. RefSeq lists it as uncharacterized. Lineage: Eukaryota; Metazoa; Arthropoda; Insecta; Hymenoptera; Formicidae. The transcript has 2 exons. The record is from RefSeq and is a predicted model, not a curated record.
CAGUGUCAUCGGGUUAUCUGGCUGUGACCGUCAGUGUUUAAGUCAGCUUAAACACCGUGCGAGUUAUUAGUUGCUCGGUUAGUUAAGAAGAAUGCGUGCAUUCUACACGAUUCUCGCACUCGUGAUCCUCUCCGCGAGCCUCGCCGAAUGUUGGUCCUUCUCGAACGUGGCGACGUCCAUCGACAAACUGAUACGGCCGCAAAAUGAUACAUCAAAAGUUCUAAAUGGAAGUGAUGGCGCUAUAUCGACGGCAUCCCCAGAGGUCACGGUACAAGGCAGAAUAAUAUUCGUUCCACGAAGAAAUAAAGUCCUCUGUCAACCGGGUCAGCAAGUCGACCGGCGUGGCAAGUGCAGGACAAUAUGGUGAAACAAAAUGAUAAACAAGAAUCUUUAUAGAUAAUUGAACCAUUCCUGUUUUUUGAAAGAUGACGUCCCCGGAAGAAAACAAGAAGCUUAACAGGAUUAAAAACAAACGAGACUAUUAUUUCAAUCGUCGGGAAUAAUUAAUGGGAACCAUGGAUCUACGUUAGAUGUACCUAAUUAAUUAUAUAUAUAUAAGAUCUGCAAUUCACCAAAUCAUAUUUGGCAAUAGUGGAUUUCAUUCAAAAUGCAAUUAAUUAAGAUGUAAAGACCACAAACUAAAUUUUGCUGCGCAUAUUUAUCCCCAGAAACGUACAAAAACAGACAAUGAUUUUAUAUUAGGCGCACAACAAAUAAAACUGUAGUGGGAGUAUAUUACAGAGUAUUAAAUUUAUACUAAAAAAUGAA